ACGAACGCUGGCGGCAUGCCUAACACAUGCAAGUCGAACGAGACCUUCGGGUCUAGUGGCGCACGGGUGCGUAACGCGUGGGAAUCUGCCCCUCGGUUCGGAAUAACAGUUAGAAAUGACUGCUAAUACCGGAUGAUGACGAAAGUCCAAAGAUUUAUCGCCGAGGGAUGAGCCCGCGUAAGAUUAGCUAGUUGGUAGGGUAAAGGCCUACCAAGGCGACGAUCUUUAGCUGGUCUGAGAGGAUGAUCAGCCACACUGGGACUGAGACACGGCCCAGACUCCUACGGGAGGCAGCAGUGGGGAAUAUUGGACAAUGGGCGAAAGCCUGAUCCAGCAAUGCCGCGUGAGUGAUGAAGGCCUUAGGGUUGUAAAGCUCUUUUACCAGGGAUGAUAAUGACAGUACCUGGAGAAUAAGCUCCGGCUAACUCCGU
This 431-nucleotide ribosomal RNA is filed under the name uncultured bacterium. RNAcentral's name for it is "bacterial SSU rRNA". It matches the Rfam family "Bacterial small subunit ribosomal RNA", at positions 29 to 506 of the family's 1533-position model. The record is from RNAcentral.